Molecule: ribosomal RNA, 2470 nt
Filed under: Bacillus cereus BGSC 6E1
Lineage: Bacteria; Bacillati; Bacillota; Bacilli; Caryophanales; Bacillaceae
Description: bacterial LSU rRNA
Rfam family: Bacterial large subunit ribosomal RNA
Source: RNAcentral
AGGGCGCACGGUGGAUGCCUUGACACUAGGAGUCGAUGAAGGACGGGACUAACGCCGAUAUGCUUCGGGGAGCUGUAAGUAAGCUUUGAUCCGAAGAUUUCCGAAUGGGGAAACCCACCAUACGUAAUGGUAUGGUAUCCUUAUCUGAAUACAUAGGGUAAGGAAGACAGACCCAGGGAACUGAAACAUCUAAGUACCUGGAGGAAGAGAAAGCAAAUGCGAUUUCCUGAGUAGCGGCGAGCGAAACGGAACAUAGCCCAAACCAAGAGGCUUGCCUCUUGGGGUUGUAGGACAUUCUAUACGGAGUUACAAAGGAACGAGGUAGACGAAGCGACCUGGAAAGGUCCGUCGUAGAGGGUAACAACCCCGUAGUCGAAACUUCGUUCUCUCUUGAAUGUAUCCUGAGUACGGCGGAACACGUGAAAUUCCGUCGGAAUCUGGGAGGACCAUCUCCCAAGGCUAAAUACUCCCUAGUGAUCGAUAGUGAACCAGUACCGUGAGGGAAAGGUGAAAAGCACCCCGGAAGGGGAGUGAAAGAGAUCCUGAAACCGUGUGCCUACAAAUAGUCAGAGCCCGUUAACGGGUGAUGGCGUGCCUUUUGUAGAAUGAACCGGCGAGUUACGAUCCCGUGCGAGGUUAAGCUGAAGAGGCGGAGCCGCAGCGAAAGCGAGUCUGAAUAGGGCGUUUAGUACGUGGUCGUAGACCCGAAACCAGGUGAUCUACCCAUGUCCAGGGUGAAGUUCAGGUAACACUGAAUGGAGGCCCGAACCCACGCACGUUGAAAAGUGCGGGGAUGAGGUGUGGGUAGCGGAGAAAUUCCAAUCGAACCUGGAGAUAGCUGGUUCUCCCCGAAAUAGCUUUAGGGCUAGCCUUAAGUGUAAGAGUCUUGGAGGUAGAGCACUGAUUGGACUAGGGGUCCUCAUCGGAUUACCGAAUUCAGUCAAACUCCGAAUGCCAAUGACUUAUCCUUAGGAGUCAGACUGCGAGUGAUAAGAUCCGUAGUCAAAAGGGAAACAGCCCAGACCGCCAGCUAAGGUCCCAAAGUGUGUAUUAAGUGGAAAAGGAUGUGGAGUUGCUUAGACAACUAGGAUGUUGGCUUAGAAGCAGCCACCAUUUAAAGAGUGCGUAAUAGCUCACUAGUCGAGUGACUCUGCGCCGAAAAUGUACCGGGGCUAAAUACACCACCGAAGCUGCGGAUUGAUACCAAUGGUAUCAGUGGUAGGGGAGCGUUCUAAGGACAGUGAAGUCAGACCGGAAGGACUGGUGGAGUGCUUAGAAGUGAGAAUGCCGGUAUGAGUAGCGAAAGACGGGUGAGAAUCCCGUCCACCGAAUGCCUAAGGUUUCCUGAGGAAGGCUCGUCCGCUCAGGGUUAGUCAGGACCUAAGCCGAGGCCGACAGGCGUAGGCGAUGGACAACAGGUUGAUAUUCCUGUACCACCUCUUUAUCGUUUGAGCAAUGGAGGGACGCAGAAGGAUAGAAGAAGCGUGCGAUUGGUUGUGCACGUCCAAGCAGUUAGGCUGAUAAGUAGGCAAAUCCGCUUAUCGUGAAGGCUGAGCUGUGAUGGGGAAGCUCCUUAUGGAGCGAAGUCUUUGAUUCCCCGCUGCCAAGAAAAGCUUCUAGCGAGAUAAAAGGUGCCUGUACCGCAAACCGACACAGGUAGGCGAGGAGAGAAUCCUAAGGUGUGCGAGAGAACUCUGGUUAAGGAACUCGGCAAAAUGACCCCGUAACUUCGGGAGAAGGGGUGCUUUCUUAACGGAAAGCCGCAGUGAAUAGGCCCAAGCGACUGUUUAGCAAAAACACAGCUCUCUGCGAAGCCGUAAGGCGAAGUAUAGGGGGUGACACCUGCCCGGUGCUGGAAGGUUAAGGAGAGGGGUUAGCGUAAGCGAAGCUCUGAACUGAAGCCCCAGUAAACGGCGGCCGUAACUAUAACGGUCCUAAGGUAGCGAAAUUCCUUGUCGGGUAAGUUCCGACCCGCACGAAAGGUGUAACGAUUUGGGCACUGUCUCAACCAGAGACUCGGUGAAAUUAUAGUACCUGUGAAGAUGCAGGUUACCCGCGACAGGACGGAAAGACCCCGUGGAGCUUUACUGUAGCCUGAUAUUGAAUUUUGGUACAGUUUGUACAGGAUAGGCGGGAGCCUUUGAAACCGGAGCGCUAGCUUCGGUGGAGGCGCUGGUGGGAUACCGCCCUGACUGUAUUGAAAUUCUAACCUACGGGUCUUAUCGACCCGGGAGACAGUGUCAGGUGGGCAGUUUGACUGGGGCGGUCGCCUCCUAAAGUGUAACGGAGGCGCCCAAAGGUUCCCUCAGAAUGGUUGGAAAUCAUUCGUAGAGUGCAAAGGCAUAAGGGAGCUUGACUGCGAGACCUACAAGUCGAGCAGGGACGAAAGUCGGGCUUAGUGAUCCGGUGGUUCCGCAUGGAAGGGCCAUCGCUCAACGGAUAAAAGCUACCCCGGGGAUAACAGGCUUAU